This is a non-coding RNA of Octodon degus (degu), 1026 nucleotides long. Lineage: Eukaryota; Metazoa; Chordata; Mammalia; Rodentia; Octodontidae. The record is from the annotation of a RefSeq genome assembly.
AUGAGCUCAGAUGCUCAGCAUAAAGCAGCUGUAGGAGAGAAGGGCAUGUGCAUGAUGGAGGAACUAGAGCAGCUUCAAGACAUCAGGGAACCAGACAGAGAAGCUGCAGGUGAUGUGAUACAGAUGUGGGCUGGAGCAAUCAGCUGUGUGGACACAGCUGGCUCCAUAAAUACCCUGGGCUGCUUGGUGAAAAGCUACUUCCCUGAGCCAGUAACAGUGACUUGGAAUUCAGGAUCCCUGACAAGUGGAGUGCACACCUUCCCAGCUGUCCUGCACUCAGGCCUGUACUCACUCACCAGCAUGGUAACUGUGCCCUCCAGCAAGAAGAAGGCCACCUGCCAUGUAGUCCAUGCAGCCAGUAACACCAAGGUGGACAAGGCUCCUGAGCUCCUAGGAGGACCAUCUGUCUUCAUCUUCCCCCCGAAGCCCAAGGAUACACUGAUGAUCUCCCUGACCCCUAAAAUCACAUGCGUUGUGAUAGAUGUGAGCCAGGAAGACCCCGAAAUUGAGUUCACCUGGUACGUGGAUGGCAAGGAGAUAAAAACAGCUGAAAUGAAGCCCAAGGAAGAGCAACUCAAUGGCACAUUGCGUAUGGUCAGUGUCCUCCCCAUCCAGCACCAGGACUGGUUGAAGGGCAAAGAGUUCACAUGCAAGGUCAACAGCAAAGCCCUUCCAGCCCCCAUUGAAAAGACCAUCUCCAAAGCCAAAGGGCCAGCCAAGAGCCCAGAGGUGUAUGUCCUGCCCCCACCCCGAGAAGAGCUGUCCAAGGACAAAGUCAGUCUAACCUGCAUGAUCACUGGCUUCUACCCUGCUGACAUAGAUGUGCAGUGGAAUACAAAUAGACAACUAGACUACAAGACCACCCCAGCUGUCUUGGACUCUGAUAACACCUUCUUCCUCUACAGCAAGCUCACAGUGGAAAAAAGCAGCUGGGAAGAAGGAAACAGCUACACCUGCUCCGUGAUGCACGAAGCUCUGCACAAUCACGUCACUCAGAAGACCAUCUCCCGGUCUCCGGGUAAAUGA